Molecule: long non-coding RNA, 324 nt
Organism: Conger conger (European conger)
Lineage: Eukaryota; Metazoa; Chordata; Actinopteri; Anguilliformes; Congridae
Exons: 3
Source: RefSeq, a predicted model, not a curated record
GCCAAGGAGUUAUCCUGCCACCAGUUAAGGAAACAAUUAAGAAAUUAGCAUUACAAUCUUCUGCCCUUCACAGCCUUGUUGGAAGUCCAGGAGAUCCAUUUCAUAUUCAAAGCUAUGAUGUGGACAGGAUUGGCUCACACAUGAAAGGUGCUGAAAUUGCCUCCUGUGAUUGGACACCUGCUGUGCCCAGCUCUACCCAUCCUUUUGAGAUCUGCCUGAAGAGGACUUUUGGGCUGUUCCAAUCCACAAGAGACAUGGUGAAGGAAGCUUCAUUAGCCUCUAGCACUGAUCUUCUUCAAAAUCUCUCUGCAACACAGCACUAUU